RNAcentral lists this ribosomal RNA (692 nucleotides) under uncultured Lachnospiraceae bacterium. RNAcentral describes it as "bacterial SSU rRNA". It matches the Rfam family "Bacterial small subunit ribosomal RNA", at positions 57 to 760 of the family's 1533-position model. The record is from RNAcentral. Lineage: Bacteria; Bacillati; Bacillota; Clostridia; Lachnospirales; Lachnospiraceae.
GCACUCUAUUUGAUUUUCUUCGGAAAUGAAGAUUUUGUGACUGAGUGGCGGACGGGUGAGUAACGCGUGGGUAACCUGCCUCAUACAGGGGGAUAACAGUUGGAAACGACUGCUAAUACCGCAUAAGCGCACAGGAUUGCAUGAUCCGGUGUGAAAAACUCCGGUGGUAUGGGAUGGACCCGCGUCUGAUUAGCCAGUUGGCAGGGUAACGGCCUACCAAAGCGACGAUCAGUAGCCGACCUGAGAGGGUGACCGGCCACAUUGGGACUGAGACACGGCCCAAACUCCUACGGGAGGCAGCAGUGGGGAAUAUUGCACAAUGGGGGAAACCCUGAUGCAGCGACGCCGCGUGAGCGAAGAAGUAUUUCGGUAUGUAAAGCUCUAUCAGCAGGGAAGAAGAAUGACGGUACCUGACUAAGAAGCACCGGCUAAAUACGUGCCAGCAGCCGCGGUAAUACGUAUGGUGCAAGCGUUAUCCGGAUUUACUGGGUGUAAAGGGAGCGCAGGCGGUGCGGCAAGUCUGAUGUGAAAGCCCGGGGCUCAACCCCGGUACUGCAUUGGAAACUGUCGUACUAGAGUGUCGGAGGGGUAAGUGGAAUUCCUAGUGUAGCGGUGAAAUGCGUAGAUAUUAGGAGGAACACCAGUGGCGAAGGCGGCUUACUGGACGAUAACUGACGCUGAGGCUCGAAAGC